RNAcentral lists this ribosomal RNA (120 nucleotides) under Pogona vitticeps (central bearded dragon). The record is from RNAcentral. Lineage: Eukaryota; Metazoa; Chordata; Lepidosauria; Squamata; Agamidae.
UGUUAGCAGCAUACUGUCCUGAACACACCACUUUUAUUUCGUUUUGGAAGCUAAGCAGGGUUGAGCCCAAUCAGUAUUUGGAUGGGAGGCAAGUAUGAAACAUAAUUGAUCUUCUUACAG